This 259-nucleotide ribosomal RNA is filed under the name Microbacteriaceae bacterium ISO543_OTU88394. RNAcentral describes it as "partial 16S ribosomal RNA". It matches the Rfam family "Bacterial small subunit ribosomal RNA", at positions 29 to 289 of the family's 1533-position model. Lineage: Bacteria; Bacillati; Actinomycetota; Actinomycetes; Micrococcales; Microbacteriaceae. The record is from RNAcentral.
ACGAACGCUGGCGGCGUGCUUAACACAUGCAAGUCGAACGAUGAAGCCAGCUUGCUGGUGGAUUAGUGGCGAACGGGUGAGUAACACGUGAGUAACCUGCCCUUGACUCUGGGAUAAGCGUUGGAAACGACGUCUAAUACCGGAUAUGACCGAUAGCCGCAUGGUUUGUUGGUGGAAAGAUUUUUUGGUCAAGGAUGGACUCGCGGCCUAUCAGGUUGUUGGUGAGGUAAUGGCUCACCAAGCCUACGACGGGUAGCCG